This 21-nucleotide microRNA is filed under the name Drosophila melanogaster (fruit fly). RNAcentral describes it as "dme-miR-977-3p". Its record names the gene dme-miR-977-3p. RNAcentral also lists the same sequence under 1 other name. The record is from miRBase by way of RNAcentral. Lineage: Eukaryota; Metazoa; Arthropoda; Insecta; Diptera; Drosophilidae.
UGAGAUAUUCACGUUGUCUAA